AGGAAUCUGCCUAGUAGUGGGGGAUAACGUCCGGAAACGGGCGCUAAUACCGCAUACGUCCUACGGGAGAAAGUGGGGGAUCUUCAGACCUCACGCUAUUAGAUGAGCCUAGGUCGGAUUAGCUAGUUGGUGAGGUAAUGGCUCACCAAGGCGACGAUCCGUAACUGGUCUGAGAGGAUGAUCAGUCACACUGGAACUGAGACACGGCCCAGACUCCUACGGGAGGCAGCAGUGGGGAAUAUUGGACAAUGGGCGAAAGCCUGAUCCAGCCAUGCCGCGUGUGUGAAGAAGGUCUUCGGAUUGUAAAGCACUUUAAGUUGGGAGGAAGGGCAGUUACCUAAUACGUGAUUGUUUUGACGUUACCGACAGAAUAANCACCGGCUAACUCUGUGCCAGCAGCCGCGGUAAUACAGAGGGUGCAAGCGUU
Molecule: ribosomal RNA, 427 nt
Filed under: uncultured bacterium
Lineage: Bacteria
Description: bacterial SSU rRNA
Rfam family: Bacterial small subunit ribosomal RNA
Source: RNAcentral